GACGAACGCUGGCGGCGUGCUUAACACAUGCAAGUCGAACGGAAAGGCCCUGCUUUUGUGGGGUGCUCGAGUGGCGAACGGGUGAGUAACACGUGAGUAACCUGCCCUUGACUUUGGGAUAACUUCAGGAAACUGGGGCUAAUACCGGAUAGGAGCUCCUGCUGCAUGGUGGGGGUUGGAAAGUUUCGGCGGUUGGGGAUGGACUCGCGGCUUAUCAGCUUGUUGGUUGGGUAGUGGCUUACCAAGGCUUUGACGGGUAGCCGGCCUGAGAGGGUGACCGGCGACAAUGGGACUGAGAGACGGCCCAGACUCCAACGGGAGGCAGCAGUGGGGAAUAUUGCACAAUGGGCGGAAGCCUGAGGCAGAAACGCCGCGUGCGGGAUGACGGCCUGCGGGUUGUAAACCGCUUUCGCCUGUGACGAAGCGUGAGUGACGGUAAUGGGUAAAGAAGCACCGGCUAACUACGUG
This 468-nucleotide ribosomal RNA is filed under the name uncultured bacterium. RNAcentral's name for it is "partial 16S ribosomal RNA". It matches the Rfam family "Bacterial small subunit ribosomal RNA", at positions 28 to 507 of the family's 1533-position model. The record is from RNAcentral.